CGAGUUCCCGUACGAUCACCGAAGUUAAGCAACGUCGAGCCUGGUCAGUACCUAAAUGGGCAACCGUUUGGGAAUAGUUGGUGCU
Non-coding RNA from Acanthosepion pharaonis, 85 nucleotides. Lineage: Eukaryota; Metazoa; Mollusca; Cephalopoda; Sepiida; Sepiidae. The record is from the annotation of a GenBank genome assembly.